AAUGCCUAGGAAUCUGCCUGGUAGUGGGGGAUAACGUUCGGAAACGGACGCUAAUACCGCAUACGUCCUACGGGAGAAAGCAGGGGACCUUCGGGCCUUGCGCUAUCAGAUGAGCCUAGGUCGGAUUAGCUAGUUGGUGAGGUAAUGGCUCACCAAGGCGACGAUCCGUAACUGGUCUGAGAGGAUGAUCAGUCACACUGGAACUGAGACACGGUCCAGACUCCUACGGGAGGCAGCAGUGGGGAAUAUUGGACAAUGGGCGAAAGCCUGAUCCAGCCAUGCCGCGUGUGUGAAGAAGGUCUUCGGAUUGUAAAGCACUUUAAGUUGGGAGGAAGGGCAUUAACCUAAUACGUUAGUGUUUUGACGUUACCGACAGAAUAAGCACCGGCUAACUCUGUGCC
Molecule: ribosomal RNA, 401 nt
Filed under: Pseudomonas fluorescens
Lineage: Bacteria; Pseudomonadati; Pseudomonadota; Gammaproteobacteria; Pseudomonadales; Pseudomonadaceae
Description: bacterial SSU rRNA
Rfam family: Bacterial small subunit ribosomal RNA
Source: RNAcentral